GCGGGUGUGGCGGAAUGGCAGACGCGCUAGAUUUAGGUUCUAGUGGUAACAACCGUGCAGGUUCAACUCCUGUCACCCGCACCA
Molecule: transfer RNA, 84 nt
Filed under: Oscillospiraceae bacterium
Lineage: Bacteria; Bacillati; Bacillota; Clostridia; Eubacteriales; Oscillospiraceae
Description: tRNA-Leu
Rfam family: tRNA
About the family: Transfer RNA (tRNA) molecules are approximately 80 nucleotides in length. Their secondary structure includes four short double-helical elements and three loops (D, anti-codon, and T loops).
Source: RNAcentral